RNAcentral lists this ribosomal RNA (169 nucleotides) under Epinephelus latifasciatus (striped grouper). Its description in RNAcentral is "partial 12S ribosomal RNA". Lineage: Eukaryota; Metazoa; Chordata; Actinopteri; Perciformes; Serranidae. The record is from RNAcentral.
UACCGCGGUUAUACGAGAGGCCCAAGUUGACAAGCUCCGGCGUAAAGCGUGGUUAAGGGAUGACAAACACUAAAGCCGAACGCUUACUAAGCUGUUAUACGCUUCCGAAAGUAAGAAGCACGUCCACGAAGGUGGCUUUACCCUACCUGAACCCACGAAAGCUAAGGCA